GCUGGCGGCAUGCCUUACACAUGCAAGUCGAACGGCAGCACGGGGCAACCUGGUGGCGAGUGGCGAACGGGUGAGUAAUGCAUCGGAACGUGCCAUUGAGUGGGGGAUAACGUAGCGAAAGUUGCGCUAAUCCGCAUAUUCUGUGAGCAGGAAAGCAGGGGAUCGCAAGACCUUGCGCUGAUUGAGCGGCCGAUGUCAGAUUAGCUAGUUGGUGAGGUAAAGGCUCACCAAGGCGACGAUCUGUAGCGGGUCUGAGAGGAUGAUCCGCCACACUGGAACUGAGACACGGUCCAGACUCCUACGGGAGGCAGCAGUGGGGAAUUUUGGACAAUGGGGGCAACCCUGAUCCAGCCAUGCCGCGUGAGU
RNAcentral lists this ribosomal RNA (366 nucleotides) under uncultured bacterium. RNAcentral's name for it is "bacterial SSU rRNA". It matches the Rfam family "Bacterial small subunit ribosomal RNA", at positions 35 to 406 of the family's 1533-position model. The record is from RNAcentral.